Molecule: ribosomal RNA, 505 nt
Filed under: uncultured bacterium
Lineage: Bacteria
Description: partial 16S ribosomal RNA
Rfam family: Bacterial small subunit ribosomal RNA
Source: RNAcentral
GACGAACGCUGGCGGCGUGCCUAAUACAUGCAAGUAGAACGCACAGUUUAUACCGUAGCUUGCUACACCAUAGACUGUGAGUUGCGAACGGGUGAGGAACGCGUAGGUAACCUGCCUGGUAGCGGGGGAUAACUAUGGGUAACGACAGCUAAUACCGCAUAAUAUUAAUUAUUGCAUGAUAAUUAAUUGAAAGGUGCAAUGGCACCACUACCAGAUGGACCUUCGUUGUAUUAGCUAGUAGGUGAGGUUACGGCUCACCUAGGCGAGGAUACAGAGCCGAACUGCGUUGGUGGUUCGCCGCCCUGGGACUGUGACCGGGCCCAGACUCCCUCGGGAAGCAGCAGUAGGGCAUCGUCGGCCAUGGACGGAAGUCUGACCGAGCAACGCCGCGGGAGUGAAGAAGGUUUUCGGGUCGUGAAGCUCUGUUGUAAGGGAAGAACGGGUGUGAGAGUGGAAAGUUCACACUGUGACGGUAUCUUACCAGAAAGCGACGGCUAACUACGUG